GCCAGGUAUGGUGGCGCAUGCCUGUAGUCCCAGCUACUCAGGAGACUGAGGUGGGAGGAUCGCUUCAGCCCAGGAGUUCUGGGCUGUAGUGCGCUAUGCCAAUCAGGUGUCCGCACUAAGUUCAGCAUCCAUAUGGUGACCUCCCGGGAGUGGGAGACCACCAGGUUGCCUAAGGAGGGGUGAACCAGCCCAGGUUGGAAAUGGAGCAGGUGAAAACUCCUAUAUGGAUCAGUGCCUGUGAAUAGCCACUGCACUCCAGCCUGGGCAACAUAGUGAGACUCGGUCUCUU
Molecule: unclassified non-coding RNA, 289 nt
Organism: Callithrix jacchus (white-tufted-ear marmoset)
Lineage: Eukaryota; Metazoa; Chordata; Mammalia; Primates; Cebidae
Rfam family: Metazoan signal recognition particle RNA
About the family: The signal recognition particle (SRP) is a universally conserved ribonucleoprotein.
Source: Ensembl